Molecule: unclassified non-coding RNA, 325 nt
Filed under: plant metagenome
Description: partial contains small subunit ribosomal RNA, internal transcribed spacer 1, and 5.8S ribosomal RNA
Source: RNAcentral
UUUCCGUAGGUGAACCUGCGGAAGGAUCAUUAUUUAAUAAACUUGGUAGAGGUUGUUGCUGGUUCUUCGGAGCGAUUGCACGCCUUUCCAUUUUUACUACUUCACCUUUGCACCUUUUGUAGUCUUUUUAAAUUGGAGUGCAAAUACUCGAGGGACCUCGGAUAGAGGAUCUGCUUUGCGCAAUGUCCGCUUUCCUUGUCAAUUGUCUUUCAAUUUUUAAAGCUCUACGUUUUCAUAUACCCCAAAUGUAUGUUAAGAAUGUGAUCAAUGGGCUUUGUUGCCUAUAAAACAAAUACAACUCUCAGCAACGGAUAUCUUGGCUCUU